UACUCAAGUAGCUUAAGUUUAGAGUAUAACACUGAAGAUGUUAGGGUAAUUUUAUAAUUUUUGAGUAU
RNAcentral lists this transfer RNA (68 nucleotides) under Dacus haikouensis. RNAcentral describes it as "tRNA-Phe". It matches the Rfam family "tRNA". Rfam says of the family: Transfer RNA (tRNA) molecules are approximately 80 nucleotides in length. Their secondary structure includes four short double-helical elements and three loops (D, anti-codon, and T loops). The record is from RNAcentral. Lineage: Eukaryota; Metazoa; Arthropoda; Insecta; Diptera; Tephritidae.